UGGUUGGUGUCCACUGUUGCUAACUUCAUUUAUAUGCUUCAUAAUGGGCAUGUUACAUAUAGUCUUAUAUGUAUCAGCUAUUACAUUGUAAAAGAGAACAAAAUAGACUUUUUCCAUCUGAAAACAUCAAGUAAGGGUAAGGAAAGAGUGAGGUAGGGUCGCUAUGAAAACUAAAGCUUUCUCAAGAUGGGUGGUCAUGGAGCACCCCGCCCAGGUCAGGAGGCCACGUCCACAUGGCACAGGCCCUGCAGGACCACACGGCAGGGUGUGCGUGGGAAAGCAACAGAGGACCUGGAGUGUUCUCGGAGCAGAGGCUCAGGCCUUAGAGAAUGAGUGCUGCUGGCUAUUCAGGCACAGGCCACCACCCUUUAUUUUUUUCAAUCUUCUGCCAACAUUUAACUUCCUUGCUUCCUCCAUGAAGCCAGCCUUGUCCCGGAGUGAGACAGGCUUCCUUUGCCACGCUGCAGGUCCUCUGUAACACAGCCUCUCCCCUGGGCUCAGCGGGCUUGAGGCUCACUGAGAGUCAGGAAGGCACGUCUGCUGCACAAUACCGCAAAUGCAAUCCAGAGUCAACAGGAAGGAUUUCAUAUUAGCUGCUGCCGGGAUAGCUACUUCUGUUCAUUAGUGUAGAUAAUUGAUAUGUGAGUGGAACCGUAUCAUUUCGAGAUCUUAAAAAGUUCCAUUUAAAAUCCUCACCUCCCACCACUACCAGCCCCCUUUUUGAAGAUAAACUGAAAUUGUAUUGGACUGCCCUUCCUCCCUCAUGGGUGGAGGAUGGAUUCAUGUGUCUCCCAACCAGCUAUACCAGCCUCAGCCUGCUGGCUCUACCUUCCUCCCCGAUGAUAGCCUCCUGCAUCUCAUUUCCCUAGACCCUGGCCUAUGGGGACAUGAACCAUGAGUGGAUUGGGAAUGAAUGGCUACCCAGCCUGGGGCUCCCGCAGUACCGCAGCUACUUCAUGGAGUGCCUGGUGGACGCCCGCAUGCUGGACCACCUCACCAAGAAGGACCUGCGGGUCCACCUGAAGAUGGUGGACAGCUUCCAUCGAACCAGUCUUCAGUAUGGCAUCAUGUGUCUGAAGAGGCUGAAUUAUGACCGGAAGGAGCUGGAGAAGAGGCGAGAGGAGAGCCAGCACGAGAUCAAGGAUGUGUUAGUCUGGACCAACGACCAGGUGGUUCAUUGGGUCCAGUCUAUUGGGCUCCGGGACUACGCAGGAAACCUGCAUGAGAGUGGUGUGCAUGGAGCCUUGCUGGCCCUGGACGAGAACUUCGACCACAACACACUGGCCCUGAUCCUCCAGAUCCCCACACAGAACACCCAGGCACGCCAAGUGAUGGAAAGAGAGUUCAAUAACCUGUUGGCCUUGGGCACAGACCGGAAGCUGGAUGACGGGGAUGACAAGGUGUUUCGCCGCGCGCCCUCCUGGAGGAAGCGCUUCCGGCCGCGGGAGCACCACGGUCGCGGCGGCAUGCUCAGCGCUUCCGCGGAGACCCUCCCGGCGGGCUUCCGUGUGUCCACCCUGGGGACCCUGCAGCCCCCACCGGCCCCGCCAAAGAAGAUCAUGCCUGAAGGUGAGUAACAGGCGGGCUGGGCAUGGCCGAGGCCCAGCCGAGCGCGGGCUUCUUCCUGGCACCCCAGGGCCGGGCCGGGUGGAGAGGGGCGAGGCCGAGCCUGGUGCCCCGCGCUCCUGCGCUGCAGCUGCACUAACGCUCCGCGGGGAGCGUGUGCGCGCACUAACCCGCCGCUCUGUGUGUUCUCCCGCGGCUGCCGACUUCUCCCAGCCGGGACGGCGGGGUCGCAGAGACUGGAGACCUCCACGGUUCGGACCUACUCCUGCUGACCCCCCAUCCUCCCGCCCCGGGUCUGACGGGGGUGUGCCCGUGGCUCGGGGUAAGUGGGCCAGGCCCGGGGACGCGGGCACCUUGCUGCUGGCCCUCGGCCCCACGCACCUGCCCUUGGCUGCCGGCCUGGCCCUGCCGCUCCAGUCCCGCUUACCAGCACUGCCUGGCUUGCCCCUUCCUGCUUCGUCUGGCCUGGGGCGCUUUGCGCUUGGAGCACGCUGCGUUGCCGCUGUCGCACACAUCCUACAACCUGUCUCGCAGAUGCCCUGCAACCUGCCUCACAGUGCGAUGCCUGUCUCUCUCUCUCCCUCAGCUCACUCCCACUAUCUCUACGGACACAUGCUCUCCGCCUUCCGGGACUAGCCAUGGCCCCCAGGGCUGGCUUCCUCCUUCUGGGUUUCACAGGCUCCUCUGGCCCUGACCCCUCCUGCUCGUUCCCCUUCCUUCCGCAGCUCCUAGUCUCGUCCGUGACUUUCCGGUUGCCCUGGAUCUCAGAAUAUAUUCGUCCACCCCCUCGGCACCCCAUUACCCCGAGUCCCACCGUGUGUCCGUUGUAAGUCCGGUGGAUGUGGCUGGGGUUUCCUGGUAUUGUGGAGGCACCCAGGUUGUCCAUGCUUGGGAUUCUGGGGGAAGGAGAGAAGGGCAGCCCAGGGUGGAUGUGAAGCCACCCUUCCUCUUCUGGACCCAGCCUGGUCUGCACUGCAACCUCCACCAGGACCAGGAUCCUGGGCCACAGGCUGGGAUGAUCCUUCCAAGAAAGGGUCAUUUCAGACGGAGCCCUGCUUGGGCUAUUCAACCUUAGGGUGUCUAUCCAUGUCUGGCUGUGCCAAAUGGUCUGGCAGCUGGUUUUGGCAUCCCCAGCAUCACCACUCUCCCAACCCGUCACCGUGACUGCAGUUCCUGCCCCCAUUCUCUUGGGGUCAGGGAGGGGCUGGGAAGGGCUACUGAAGGCCCCAUUCUCCCACAGGAUGGUGAGGCUGGGAGGAGGAAGACUGAGGUAGAGAUUCCAGGCCCUAGCAUAAGCUGAAUCCCAAAUUUGGGUUUGGGAAGAACCAGAGAGAAAUGGAUCCCUGAGCUCUGAGCCAAGGGUGAGGAUGGGGAAACUCUAAGCUCCCGCCUAAUAAGAAGCAUAGGCAGACCAGCCAGAGGGAGAGCCAAUGGCCUCUGGUAGCCUUAAGCCCAAAGGGCAGUGGGAAUGUCCCCUGCCCCAACCAUCGGGUGGAGCUCCUGCUGGGCUGUGGGGAAGGGAGGUUGUGCGGAUCUUGACUCUAGGGCAGAACAGAUCUAACCAUGCAUUGCUAGCUCUGCUCCCAGCAUCCCUUCCCCUUCUCUCCUCCUCUGCCUCACUUCUUUAGUAAUCCCAACCCUAUAAAAAUGAACCUAAUGGGUGGAUUGAAUAUACAUUGACCCUAAAGUCAAGUUUGGGGAAAAGGCAGACUAAGGCCUCCUUUCUCUGACCUCCCAGGAAGAAAAUAGCUUCUCCUACAGUGAUUCAUGUCCCAGGUCCAGGAAAUCCAAUGUUGGUGAAGGCAGCCACUCUCUUGCUUGUCCCCAAAUCACCUAACCCUCAUCCAGGGCUAUUUUGGUGGGCAGGGACUGCCUCCUCCCGGAAUUCCUAAGAUCUGCCCAGCUGCCACCAUUUUCAUUGCUUUCCCCAGCAGCAUGAUGGGAACCCAAGCUGAGGGAUACAGGUCCUGAUUUGGUAGGAAUAUUAUUCCCAAGAAAUACCCGCUCCUCACCUACUCCCUCAUCCUACCAAGGUGCCUGAAAAUGUUCAAGACUUAUGUUCAGGGUGGGAUGAUGGAACCGAGGGCUUCAUCAAAGUGAGAGGAAAGGAAAAGCAUCUGGCAUGUGUUUCUUGGAUAGGGGCCAGUGCAGUGCCAUCCUAUAGGUGGCUGGAGCAGCUGCUUUGCAACCUGAUCACCUUGAGUUCUGAGCAGGGACUAGGCUUGCAGGUGAGAUAAUGGGCCAGGGCACCCAGUCCAGAAGGAGCAAUGGCACCUGGGCAGUGCCAGGGCUUAGAGCCUGCUGCUCCUUUUCGGUAGAGGAGAGGCCCAUCACUGGUGUGGUGGGGUGGGCUCUCCCCUAGGCUUGGGCAAGGCAGCCACCUGCCCUUGCUCUCCCUUAGUGUUCCCUGGCCUCCCUGCCAUCAGGUUGCCGGGAGUGGAGAUGGAGGGAUUAUUGAGCAGAAAAUGAGUUGGAUGGAGAUAAACAGCUCCCAUCCCUGGGUAAUGGAUGUUAAGAUGAUGGAGAUUCCUAAGAUUGGUGGAGUUGGGCAAUGCAUAGCCAUCUGACUCCUUCAGGGUGCUCUUGAUGGGCUGGCUGUAAGGGAGACUCAGUCCCAGCCUCUCCCCUCUACAACUCCUGCCACUGUUGGCCAUGUCGUGAGGCAGCAGCUGUGCCAGGAUAGCUGGGUCCAUUCAGAGCACCUUGAGAAGUGUUGCAGGGAGGUGUUAAGAAGAGAAAUCUGUGCAAACAGUGAUGGAAGGCUGUUGUCUUGGUGUAUCCCUUGCCUCAUAGUCAAUAUAUUUUUUUUUUGGUGAGUCACCAGUGACCCGAGCCCUCCACACCAGCCUCCUGUAUCUCAUCAGGUCCCUUCUCAGUACUGUAUUUGCUCAGUGCAUCAGGAAUGGGUGUAUGGGUGUGUGUGGGUGGGUGUGAGUGUGGGUGUGUACGUACCAAUAAACAACCUGGUUUUAAGACAAUGU
This 4547-nucleotide small RNA is filed under the name Pan troglodytes (chimpanzee). Its description in RNAcentral is "retained intron". Lineage: Eukaryota; Metazoa; Chordata; Mammalia; Primates; Hominidae. The record is from RNAcentral.